GCUACGGCCAUACCAGCCUGGGUACGCCCGAUCUCGUCUGAUCUCGGAAGCUAAGCAGGGUCGGGCCUGGUUAGUACUUGGAUGGGAGACGGCCUGGGAAUACCAGGUGCUGUAAGCA
This 118-nucleotide ribosomal RNA is filed under the name Salmo salar (Atlantic salmon). The record is from RNAcentral. Lineage: Eukaryota; Metazoa; Chordata; Actinopteri; Salmoniformes; Salmonidae.